UGCCUUUUGGAAAAGGCGGUGCAAGUUGGGACGGGGGUGGGACUCCACAAAAUACACUCCCCUAGAAGCAAAGGCAGAGGGUGGGAAGUUGCAAAGUCUGGAAUCAAGUACUUGUUCAUGUUUAUAAACUCCUUGGAAGAGGGUUCCAAGAUUCAAAUGAAGGACACCCAAGAUCAAGUUCCAAGCAGGCACUAAACCAGCUGCUUCCUGAAGUGCAGAAAGGGAGGGACAGAUGUAGUCCCUGCAAGGCAGCAGUGAGACGCCACAGUAAACCCGUUCCAGCAAUCUAAGGAUUCUGACUCCAGAUGGGUUCUGAAUGUUUUCCUUGUCCGCAUAACCUGUACACUGAAUAGAUACAACAGAAGAGGGCUGGCUUCAUCAAAGGUGAGCUUGCUGCCCUGAAGGCAGAGAGCUGCCCUGCGAGACACCAGAACUGCCAGCGCUGCGACCCAGGCUUGGCCACCUGUGGAACUCUAAAAAUUAAACUUCUGUUCCGUGCCAAUGACCCAGCUUGAAGUGUUCUGUUACAGCAGCGUGAGUGCGCUGAGACACCUGCACAUGCAUCUUCUGAUUUAAAUUGUGACUUGAGGGCAGCAAGGAGGUACAGGAGAAGGAACACAGGAGUGAAGGUCAGAGGCCUGGGCACUGACCCCACCACAUUUGCCAACAGGAGGAUGAGCUUGGAGCCAUCAUGCACUGUCCCAGGCAGGGAUGUGACUCACUUCAAAAUCCCUUCCAGUCAAUGUAACAUUUCCUGCAGCUUGGUCUUAACUUGUCCUUUCAGAGCUCUACCUGGAAGUUUAUGAAAACAGGGAAAGUCAAAAGGCUAAGUUUACUCCUUCAAGUAGUCUGAGGUGGAUCCCUUUGUAACAGUGAUCAUGCUAAAAGUACUUUACACAGCUUAGUUUGCAUAUACAAAUUUCAAAGUAUAUAUGCUCUUGAAGAGAUAAAAGUCUGAGAGCAUCCAGAUUAAAAAAAAACAAACAGCUUUGGAUAUUACAUGAAGACUUUGAGUGGUUACCACCAUUUGACCACUGUUCCUAACCAUCCUACUAGUUCAGGCCAGUGGUGAAUGCAGUCGUUUCUGGUCUGUCUUUAUGGUAUCCAAUGUCUCACCCAGAAUACGGCAUUUUUAUUGAGCAAUAUAUUUUAACAAGAACUUGUAAAUACAGUCAACAGCUCUUUACAUUUAGUUUUAACUUUAUCUAAUAAAUUUGGCAAUUUGUACGUCAUAAUCCAACCCUAACUUUCUGCAGGAAAUGGAAAAGGCUUAACAUUUAUUCAUCUGGGCGAAAAUGCACUGUGCUCCAAAACACAAUUAAACUGGAAAUAGAUGACAUUAGUCCUCUCAGGGGCAUUUCACAUAAGCUAAAUAUACUCACGCAACUGAGCUAACCACUGCAAACACGGCCACCAUCAAGACCUGAGCCGCGGCAAGAGCAGCCCCUCUCCCACCGCCACGAAAGGCCACACGUCCCCCCACGGAGGAGGCCACGUCUGAACCCCAGGCAACCAGCACCACUCCAGCCACACACACGUCCAUGAGAAAGGUCCUGAAGCUUUGCAUCAUCUUGCUUUCUGCUUUUGCACUGAGUCUUUUAAAGAGCAUUGGUCUCAUUCUAUGCACUUUAGUAAACCCGGGCAUUAAAUCUGGAUGGAGCCGAUGUGUUAGGGUUCUAGCUUCCUCUGGCACCCUGUAACGGGGCUGGACACUGUUGGUGUGCACAAGGCUCUGGCUUCAGCUCCCAGCACCAGAGCAAAGCAGAGCAAAGCAGAGCAAAGCAAACCGUUGCUACUGCCGCCACUACUCACGCACAACCUCGCUUGGGCUGAGCCCUCCCCUGAGGUUCCUCCAGACGCUGUGUCAUUCUUAUGUCACGAUUUGGAUGCUUCAGUUGUGAAGGGCAGAUAUUGUUCCUAUUUAAAUCUCAGAGUUGUUCUUAAAUUCAGAAAGCAUAUCUGACAAGAAGAAGAAGAGGAAGAGGAAGGAGAAGGAGGAGGAGGAGGAAGAGGAGGAGGGAGAGGAGAAGAAAUAGAAACCAACCUGAUUCCAGACAUGACAAGUUGGCUUCAUUGCAGAUUAAACAGAUGUCUUAUUUAGCCAACUAGUCAGUCAAGACCAGUAAAGAGCCAACAAGGCAGCCAAGAAUGACUCUCCCUGCUGUCCAGGCUGUCUCCAGUGCCCUUGGGAGAGUGACCAGCUGGCUCACCUGCAGAAAAGGUGGUCACCCAAGUGCCAUAUGACAAAGGUGUUUACUCAGCUGUGUUGGCCACAAGUCGGGGGCUAGGACCUUUGAGGUGCCCGUUCCUAUUGGAGGGAGACUGUAUAGUGAUUAUGGCAGAGAAGUAAGCAAAGUCAUCACAACAGGAUCCAUUGAAGGACGGGCUCAUGUAAACAUAAAUAACCAACCCCAGCAAUAGCCUUCCUAUCUCCCGGGUUUGCUCUUCAGCAUCAGACAAUUACCACCAUUGUCCCUUGAUGUUCUGUGGCUUGGACUACCUGUCCCCUCUCCAGGAAGUAAGCCCUCCAAGGCAUGGAAGCUUUUGGUUCACUGAAGUAAAGCAGCUGCAGAACUGAGCUAGAUGCCUAGCAGUGUUCUUCAUCAGCUGGUUGAAGAUAUUUACCUUCACCUGAGCGAGUCACCUUUCACAGCAAACAGAGCUUCAUGGUGCUUGAAUUUCAUUUGGAAUUGAGACUAUAAAGUCGACAUUUGAAGCCAGGCAAAUAUCUUACGUAACGUGGUGCGAAAGGGAGAGGACUUGAGUCUCACUUCAUCACUCAUUCCAAAUAGCGCGAAGAGCUGGUAUGAAGAACCGGUUCUCACCCACUCCCGGUGCCGUGCGUAGAUUCAAGUCCUGGCUCUGCACUUGGUAACCAUAUGAGGCGACGAGGACAGACAGAUGUCCCCUAAACCCGAGCCUCCCCCCAUCUGCUGCACAAAGAACUCCACCAAUGAGCCGUGAGGCAUUAUCUGGAGGCCAACCCCUUGCUGUGGGAUGGAAAUUUUUCACCAUGGCAAAUCUCAAACAAUUAAUUACCUGCUCUUAUCUGCAAAGAGCUCAUAGACCAGUAUGGAAAACAGAAAGCGAACAAGGACUGUCCGGGUUGAGAAAGACAGGGAAGGAAUGGCCCAUGUACCAGGGAACACAGCGGAGGCACAGCCUGGUGUUCCCCGUUAGAUAAUAGAGAAUAACAAUAAGAUGCAACAUAGCGUAGCAACGUCCGUAUUCACUGAUAGCAGACCUUGGCGCAGGGAAGACUCCAUGAUUCCACGCUCCACCUAACAAUGCUUCCAACUCAGAAGAGAGAAGAGAGAACAUUCACUGAAGGCUCACUGUGGGGGAGACCUGAUUCUAAGGGCUUUGCUUUAAUUCAGUUGGCCCCUACAACAUAUCUAUCUACAUUUUGUAUGCUCCAUCUUACCGACAGAGAAGGUCCGUUCGCUUUCCCAAGCUCCUAUAGUCAGAGGCGGCUGAACCGGUGCGGGAAACCAGGGACCCUGGCUCACGCUUACCCUGCAGGCCGCAUCCAGCCCCGCAUAACUCCUGCACACUUGACCAGAGGCGGGUGUCACAGGCCGGCCCGUGUUGCAGGUGGCACCUUUGGAUGCUCCCUGGUUAAAUGCACGACACGGGAGUGCCGGGGCAAACACAGCGGCAGAGAAGCGGGAGGACAGAUGCUGUGACGUCACAGAGCAGCCACCCCAGGCCUGGUGCGAGCUCGCUUAAGGAGGGGACAUCCACCGCAGCAGCGCAUGCUGGCUUCUCUACCGCCCCAGAGGCACACCCCUGCCCCCUGUGCCCAGGAGGCUGGCCUGUAUGGCCGGUACUACCUGGCACCCCCUGCCAGUGGAGCAGUGCCAUGGGGGCAUCAAAGGGUGGAAGAGAGACUCUGAGGGGCUUCUUUAUUCCAUCCCCCCUUGCCCCACGCUUCUGAGAGUGGCUGCAUCCGUCUCCAUCCACCUUUAAGAAAGAAAAUUGAUAUUUGCACACAAAGGAGUACCGCUGUGCCAUAAAGAAGGAUAAACUUCAGUCAUCUAAAGGAAAAUGGACAGUGCACUGUGAGACCAUAAUGAGAAAGAAAUCAGGUAAAACAGCUUAAAUAUCACACGGUUUCUCUCACACGGCAAAUCCAAAGUAUAAGCAAAGAGUGAAAUAAAAGAUGGUAAUAGGGAACAGGGAGAGAGAUCUUUGCAAAUGGGAAGGGGACCAAGAGACAGAAGGCAGGGAGCGAGAGAGAAGGGGACGAACAAAGCAGGGAGAUGUGUUAUGUAUACACACCAAGGCCCCACAAUGAAUGUGGUCAUUAUGUGUUGCAAACGCAGAGUCAUUAAAAAGCAAAGGAAGAGUGGCUCCCACCAAGGUCCUUUCCACAUUUCCACCGGCCUGUGCUGCGACUCUCCCUUCUGACCCAGGAGAAACGACGGCUUCCCACCAUGGUCCUCUGCUCCAGUCUGCACCCCUCCAGAGACGCCCCCCACUGGUCAUCUUUCAAAUCCUAACCUUGUAGCCUUUUCCUUCGGUCCAGGCUGAUGUGCAGCAGACCACGAAAUGGGGAACAACUAGCCCCGAAGUCAGCAAGCGGAGCACCUGAGAUCAGGGCAAUGCUGCAGCCUGGCUGCAGAAUGCUUGCCUGGCACAUUCAAGUCCUCGGUUCCAUCCCCAGCCCUGGGGGAGGCGCGAAGAGCCUCAGUGACACAUGCGCGAAGAGCCUCAGUGACACAUGCGCGAAGAGCCUCAGUGACACAUGCGCGAAGAGCCUCAGUGACACAUGCAAUGGCUAGGCCUUUCCUCCCCCUGGUACUCUUCCCCCAGGUGCAUUUCAUCCAUGCUCACUUUGAGGCCCUGCUCUGUGCCUGCGCCAGGCUAGGCUUUAGGAAUGGCGAGGAACAACAUUCCACAGCCCGGUAGGCAGAGUAGCGGGUUAGGGAAGUUAGCAGGCGAGGCAGGGGCUACUGCGGAAUAGAUCAGCACAUUUAGAACUCACCAAGUAAGCUUACAAAUUGCAAACUACGUCAGAAGGGGAAAGGAAAGAUUGGGAGGAGCUGAGAGAAUAACAAGAGAUCCCAUUUAGAAGUUCAUCUUUAUUUCAUGACUGGAAUCGCUAUUGGCCCAACUAUUCACCUCACAGAUGGAGAGACCGAUCCAGAGGAAAUUAAACUGCCGUGAACAUGGAGAAAAGGGGACGAUAAGCAGGGCCAGGUGAAAGCGUCUGGCUGACGCUGACCCCGUGCCUCCUCCGACCUCCCCUCUUCUGCUCCUGCGGAUGGGCCAGGCCUGGCUUUGCCACAGACCCGUGCGGAGGCUGAGUCUGACAGUAGCCAGGCUCAGUAUGGGCCCUGAAUGCCAGUUCUGCUCUCAAAGCUUCCUCAGUCUCCAAAGAACCUGUCUCCUGCCGGGCAAAGAUUUUCAUGUUGGAAGACCUGGGAACCGAGGUUAGGUGGGGCACUGCUCGCCACCUUCCGUCAGUUUGGAAACGUGUCCCUUGCACUCCCCUUCUUCCACACUUGGAGACCCCUGCACAACCCCACCCAGCUCACCGCUGCUCUCUCAAGCACCAAGGUCAAAGUUAACAGGGCAGCGGAAUUUAGGAGCAAGAAGGGGAGGAGAGUCUAUCUUUCGCCUUCUUGUUCCCUGACUUCAAUAAAGCAAAGAUUUGCCUUCA
Chinchilla lanigera (long-tailed chinchilla) is the source of this 5665-nucleotide long non-coding RNA. RefSeq lists it as uncharacterized. The record is from RefSeq and is a predicted model, not a curated record. The transcript is spliced from 4 exons. Lineage: Eukaryota; Metazoa; Chordata; Mammalia; Rodentia; Chinchillidae.